Molecule: ribosomal RNA, 497 nt
Filed under: uncultured bacterium
Lineage: Bacteria
Description: partial 16S ribosomal RNA
Rfam family: Bacterial small subunit ribosomal RNA
Source: RNAcentral
GAUGAACGCUGGCGGCGUGCCUAAUACAUGCAAGUCGAGCGAACACACGAGGAGCUUGCUCCUCUGACGUUAGCGGCGGACGGGAGAGUAACACGUGGAUAACCUACCUAUAAGACUGGGAUAACUUCGCGAAAUCGGAGCUAAUAGCGGAUAACAUGUUGAACCUCAAGGUUCAACAGUGUAAGACGGUCUUUCUUGCACUUAUAGAUGGCUCCGCCCCGCAUUAGCUGGUUGGUAAGGUAACGGAUUACCAAGGCAACGAUGCGUAGCCGACCCGAAAGCGAGAACGAGCACAUGGGAAGUGAGACACACUCCAGACUCCGACGCUAGGCAACAGUAGAGAAUCCUACGCGAUGGACGAGAGCCUGACGGAGCGACACCGCGUAAGUGAAGACGGACUUAGGAUGGGUGAACGAUGUUGGUAGGAAAGAACAAAUAUGUAUGUAACUAUGCCCAUAUUGACGGUACCUAAUCAGGAAGCCACGGCUAACUACGUG